RNAcentral lists this long non-coding RNA (636 nucleotides) under Mytilus galloprovincialis (Mediterranean mussel). The record is from RNAcentral. Lineage: Eukaryota; Metazoa; Mollusca; Bivalvia; Mytilida; Mytilidae.
AGAAAAACAAAAAUUUUAAGUUCAUUAGAACACAUUCAUUCUGUGUCAGAAACCUAUGCUGUGUCAACUAUUUAAUCACAAUCCAAAUUUAGAGCUGAAUCCAGCUUGAAUGUUGUGUCCAUACUUGCCCCAACCGUUCAGGGUUCAACCUCUGCGGUCGUAUAAAGCUACGCCCUGCGGAGCAUCUGGUUUUCAUCAUGCUUGAAUAUUUUGACUUUUGUUAUAUUAUAGUUCAUACGGGGGAAUCAUACCAUGAUAAAUUAUAGACCAAGCUAGCAUUUUGUUCCAGUACAAUGCAUUUGUUACCAAUAGGGGACUUUGUAUCCAAUCAAAGGAACUAUUUCAAAUAAAUGCAUCUUUUGAUAAGUAUUUGAUUUUUUAGUUUGUAUCCUCCUCAUUUAAAUUCAUGAAAAGUAGUCCCUUAUGAAUAUUCAUUUUGUAUGAUUAUUUUGAUAGAUUGUGAUAUUUAUUUGUUGAUAUAAGAGCAAUAGUAUUGUUUUACAUGCAUAUUUCAUAAUGUGUUCAAUACAUUGUUUGUUUAAUAUCGGAGAUAUUCUUAUUUUCUUUAAGUUAUUAUUUAAAAUAUCAUGCAUCUAUAUCUUUAUAUAUGCAAUGAAACCGGUUUCAACUUAACCC